This is a long non-coding RNA of Uranotaenia lowii, 1023 nucleotides long. RefSeq lists it as uncharacterized. The record is from RefSeq and is a predicted model, not a curated record. The transcript has 3 exons. Lineage: Eukaryota; Metazoa; Arthropoda; Insecta; Diptera; Culicidae.
UUAGAUCAACAUGGUUUGACUUUAAGCGCUCGCGUAUCAAUACAAAAUUGUCUUUAUUGAUUGACAUUUAUCGAUUCUAUAACCAACUACGAUUCAGAUGAUCAAAACAAACAGAUCGAUUAGUUAACUUCCGUUUAGAAAACGUGGAAAGGCUAGUUAGCUUAAAAAGUAUCAGUUGAAUAUCCAAAGUUGCAUUACUUUCGUGAUCACUUUAUUUGGUCGAUAUCAAGUUCACUGUAAGUCUAGAAUGAAAGUUAUAUUGUUAUAUGAAGUAUAUUUACCAAUCCUAUAAACCAUUUACAACAGGUUAGCGAAGAUCACAGUAAAUGGUCAAUUUACCGUUUAUCCAAUUAUUUGGAAGGAGUUGUAAUCGAUGCUAACAACACUGAGUUGUUCUCAAACUAACAGUUAGCCAAAAGAUUACUGACACAUUUCGAACCGCUAGUACUCAGUAAGAAGUUGAAGUUGUCGAACUUAAUUUUGAGUCUCGAGGAAAAUCGGACUACAAAAUAGUAACAAACUCAAAAUUAAAGCUACUAGUACUGCGGAUCAUAACCUCAAAAUGGAUCCUGAUACUAUUUGUAAUGUCGACCACAACUGUGCUGCAUGCUCUAAGGCGGAUGAUGCACAAACCAUGGUGGCCUGUGACUCCUGCUCUAUUUGGUGGCACUAUAGUUGCGCGGGCGUCAGUUCGUCUAUCGUCGACAAACCUUGGAGAUGCAAAAAUUGCACAUCAGCUACUGCAAAAGCCGGAGUGCAAACCUCGAAAGCUACAUCUCUGCCUCCAGUAAAGCCGAUGUCAGUUAAAUCAUCCGGAUUGAGUGCAAGGCUCCGACUGCAGCAAUUAGAAGAAACGCAGGCACUCGAGGAUCGGCUUAGGAAGCAACAGGCAGAGAGCGAAAGGUCGUUUUUAACAAAGAAGCAUCAGCUACAAAUUGAAAUGGAAGAAGAGGAGCAAGCAGUCGGUGGCAGCGUUAUAAGCUUCGGAAGUCGCCGUGGACGUGAAUUGGUGGAUAAGUGGAU